GAUGAACGCUGGCGGCGUGCCUAAUACAUGCAAGUCGAACGAAGGUACUUCGGUACUUAGUGGCGAACGGGUGAGUAAUACGUAAGCAACCUGCCUAUGGGACUGGGAUAACGUUUGGAAACGGACGCUAAUACCGGAUAGGGUAGAGAGGAGGCAUCUCUUCUCUAUUAAAGUUUAGAUACACCGAUAGAUGGGCUUACGGCGCAUUAGCUGGUUGGUGAGGUAACGGCUCACCAAGGCGACGAUCAGUAGCCGACCUGAGAGGGUGAUCGGCCACAUUGGAACUGAGACACGGUCCAAACUCCUACGGGAGGCAGCAGUGGGGAAUAUUGCACAAUGGGCGAAAGCCUGAUGCAGCAACGCCGCGUGAGUGAAGAAGGUCUUCGGAUUGUAAAACUCUGUCCUUGGGGAAGAAGAACUGACGGUACCCUUGGAGGAAGCCCCGGCUAACUACGUG
Molecule: ribosomal RNA, 457 nt
Filed under: uncultured bacterium
Lineage: Bacteria
Description: bacterial SSU rRNA
Rfam family: Bacterial small subunit ribosomal RNA
Source: RNAcentral